Molecule: ribosomal RNA, 372 nt
Filed under: uncultured organism
Description: bacterial SSU rRNA
Rfam family: Bacterial small subunit ribosomal RNA
Source: RNAcentral
CAGAGGUCUCAAGCGUUGUUCGGAUUCAUUGGGCGUAAAGGGUGCGUAGGCGGCGCGGUAAGUCGGGUGUGAAAUUUCGAGGCUUAACUUCGAAACUGCAUUCGAUACUGCCGUGCUCGAGGACUGGAGAGGAGACUGGAAUUUACGGUGUAGCGGUGAAAUGCGUAGAUAUCGUAAGGAAGACCAGUGGCGAAGGCGGGUCUCUGGACAGUUCCUGACGCUGAGGCACGAAGGCCAGGGGAGCAAACGGGAUUAGAUACCCCGGUAGUCCUGGCAAUAAACGGUGCACGUUUGGUGUGGGAGGAUUCGACCCCUUCUGCGCCGGAGCUAACGCGUUAAACGUGCCGCCUGGGGAGUACGAUCGCAAGAUUA